UUAAAUUGAAGAGUUUGAUCAUGGCUCAGAUUGAACGCUGGCGGCAGGCCUAACACAUGCAAGUCGAACGGUAACAGGAAGCAGCUUGCUUCUU
This 94-nucleotide ribosomal RNA is filed under the name Escherichia coli. RNAcentral's name for it is "partial 16S ribosomal RNA". It matches the Rfam family "Bacterial small subunit ribosomal RNA", at positions 1 to 90 of the family's 1533-position model. Lineage: Bacteria; Pseudomonadati; Pseudomonadota; Gammaproteobacteria; Enterobacterales; Enterobacteriaceae. The record is from RNAcentral.